This 169-nucleotide ribosomal RNA is filed under the name uncultured Clostridium sp. Its description in RNAcentral is "partial 16S ribosomal RNA". It matches the Rfam family "Bacterial small subunit ribosomal RNA", at positions 338 to 524 of the family's 1533-position model. The record is from RNAcentral. Lineage: Bacteria; Bacillati; Bacillota; Clostridia; Eubacteriales; Clostridiaceae.
CCUACGGGAGGCAGCAGCGGGGAAUAUUGCGCAAUGGGGGAAACCCUGACGCAGCAACGCCGCGUGAAUGAAGAAGGCCUUAGGGUUGUAAAGUUCUGUCAUAUGGGAAGAUAAUGACGGUACCAUAUGAGGAAGCCACGGCUAACUACGUGCCAGCAGCCGCGGUAAU